UCCGUAGGUGGCAAGCGUUGUCCGGAUUUACUGGGCGUAAAGAGCGCGCAGGCGGUUGAUUAAGUCGAAUGUGAAAGCCCCCGGCUCAACUGGGGAGGGUCAUUCGAUACUGAUCGACUUGAAGGCAGGAGAGGGUAGUGGAAUUCCCGGUGUAGUGGUGAAAUGCGUAGAUAUCGGGAGGAACACCAGUGGCGAAGGCGACUACCUGGCCUGUUCUUGACGCUGAGGCGCGAAAGCUGGGGGAGCAAACGGG
This 253-nucleotide ribosomal RNA is filed under the name uncultured bacterium. RNAcentral describes it as "partial 16S ribosomal RNA". It matches the Rfam family "Bacterial small subunit ribosomal RNA", at positions 524 to 776 of the family's 1533-position model. The record is from RNAcentral.